RNAcentral lists this ribosomal RNA (465 nucleotides) under uncultured bacterium. Its description in RNAcentral is "partial 16S ribosomal RNA". It matches the Rfam family "Bacterial small subunit ribosomal RNA", at positions 28 to 507 of the family's 1533-position model. The record is from RNAcentral.
GACGAACGCUGGCGGCGUGCUUAACACAUGCAAGUCGAACGGAAAGGCCCUGCUUGCAGGGUACUCGAGUGGCGAACGGGUGAGUAACACGUGGGUGAUCUGCCCUGCACUUCGGGAUAAGCCUGGGAAACUGGGUCUAAUACCGGAUAGGAGCCAUUUUUAGUGUGAUGGUUGGAAAGUUUUUUCGGUGUAGGAUGAGCUCGCGGCCUAUCAGCUUGUUGGUGGGGUAAUGGCCUACCAAGGCGGCGACGGGUAGCCGGCCUGAGAGGGUGGACGGCCACAUUGGGACUGAGAUACGGCCCAGACUCCUACGGGAGGCAGCAGUGGGGAAUAUUGCACAAUGGGCGCAAGCCUGAUGCAGCGACGUCGCGUGGGGGAUGACGGCCUUCGGGUUGUAAACUCCUUUCGCUAGGGACGAAGCUUUUUGUGACGGUACCUAGAUAAGAAGCACCGGCUAACUACGUG